UUUUUUUUUUGUUAGGAGUGUUUGUAUAAAAAUAGAAAUCUAGUAAGAGUGGCGGCAAUAGAAACCAAGAAGUCACAGUGGCUUUGUGGCACCUCCAGGUGUGGGGGUACCAGGGAGAUUGGGAAGCACUUCUGGGAAACACUCAAGCAAGUGUUCACAUGGCCAACUAUUUUUUAAGAUGAGAGGACAGAGAAGAUGUUCUGUAGUUAAGACUGUAGUUAGUAUAGCCUGCUGUUUGCUUCCCCAGAUGGUCCAGGAGAACUCAUGUGCUCAUCUGUAGCCAUUUGUAGAACUAGCUUCAGGAUCACUGACAAGCCUCCACUGAGUGUCAGCUACAGAAAAUAUCUGUCCUAAGCCAGAAUAUUACCAGGGUACAAUGAUUUCUAGCCUUGAGAGACUAUAAAAGAAGUUGAGGAGAUAAAGAUUUAAAAAGCAUAAAUACUAAGUAGUGUGAGUUAAUUCAUAGUAUAGAUCAGCAGUCACUAAUUUUUUUAAAGGAUAAGAUGCUAAAUAUUUUCAGCUUUGUGGGCCACAUGGUCUCUACUGAACUCUGUUGUAGACAGUUAUGUAAAUGAAUGAGUGUGCUGUGUUCCAACAAAACUUUAUUUAUGAAUACUGGAAUUUGAAAUUCAUGUAAUGUUCAUGUGCCAUGACAUAUUAAUCUUCAUUUGAUGCUUUUCAACAAUUUAAAAUUUAAAACCUAUUUUAGCUAGCAUACUGUACAAAACAGCAUGGACCACAUUUGGUCUGUGAGCUGUGAUUUGCUGCACCAUGGUAUAGAUGAUAAGUGCUCUGGUUUGUUGGGAUAUGAGGAUGUGUUAUAUUCAUUGUGGAUGACAUCUCUCAUAGGUAAGUCAAAUAUAUAAGGCUUUAUGCUUGAUUUUUGAGAUAACUAGGUUUAGUCUCCAUUAUUUUGUAGUUGACUAAUCAGUUAUUUAAUUAUUUCCAGUGGGGACAUGCCUGUUUGGGGCUAGAAUUUAGAGGUAUUCAUGUAUGCCACUGGGCGGUGGUUUCGAUGGUACAGCAUAGGGGUUGCAUAUUGGACAGCAGUAAUGGGAACCAGGUAUCUUUGACUGUUGGGUGAAGUGGGACAUGCCUCAGGAAAGAGGGGCCUUAGAUGUUCUUGAGCAGAAGGAUAAUCUGAUCAGAACUGUGCUUCAUGUGGUUUAGAGUUUAGACCAGAAAGAUGAAAGGAGAGCAGGGUAAGGGAACUAACACUGGGCUUCUUUCUCUUCUCUAGAGGUUUGUUCAUUCAAUCAUUUCUCCCUUGGGGGGAAUGAAGGGGAAGGCUGGUUUGUGAAGUAUUGCUUGAAGGUGAAGAGAGGGAAAAGUGCUUCAGAUUGAAUGUGAAAAAUAAAGAAAAGAAUCAAAGAUAAUUCAAAGCUUCCAAGCUCAGGUGACUAGACGAGUGGUAAGAGGGAGUCAGAAGAAGUUGGUUUUUGGAGAGAAGUUUGGGCUUAGACACUGCACUCACCAGGUAAGUCAGCAAAUGCCCACAGAUUCAAGUUCCAAGAGAUUCAGCUGAAGAUUCAUUGCUCUUUUAGUGAAUACUGCCCAAAGAGGACUUUAAAAAUGUUACUAUGUGCCUUAAAUUAUUAACAGUUGCUUGUAUUGUGCUUUGUCAUUGACAACUGUGGGUGGGGAGGGUUGGUUACAUUUAGUGGAUCAGUAAAAAUGUUUGGAGAGCUACAAAAUUUUAAGGCAUUAUGGAAAAUGAAUACACACAGAAAUUGUCAUACUCGAUUUAGUAGUCCCAGAAAUUGGAUGUAUUACAAGCAGUAAUUGUUUUAGUUCAGAUUUAAAUAUGUCAAAUCAAUAUGUUUAACACCUUUAACAUAUGCCUCAAACAUAUUCUGCUUUUUAUUCCCCUAACAUUUGGUUUAUGAAUAGAAAACAAAGAAGUUAGGGAUUUUAUUCACAGAGGCCUCAUUGCUUUAGCUUAGUGAUUUGUAGCACUUAUUCUUUUUCAUUAGAAAAUCUUCAAAAGCACAGUUUCUUUCUGUUUUUGAUGGAUCCAUUGCAUUUCCAAGUUCCUUGUGUGGUUACCUAGAUGUUGUCACUGUUCUACCAGUCUUCCCUCUGAGUGGCUCAGUUAUUCUGUCUGCUCUGAUUAUUAAUCUGCCACCAUGGCCACAUUUCUAAUUUAGAGAAUUAGUGGCAAUUUCUUGCGAUGCUCAUCUUAAGUGGCACCCGUGGAUCCUGAGGAAGACUGGCUUUGAAGCACAGUUCCUGACAGUUUAACAUUUCCCAAGUAGGGAAGAACUCCCACUACCCUCCUGAGGAGAGGGAGUGCAUGUAGUGCAUGUAGAAUGAAGAAUGAGGCACACCCCAGCUCUGUUUUGCUGUGUAAAAGCAAGGAGAGGAGUUUGUACCUCUCCUCCUUUCUUCCUUUUUCUCUCCUUCUUCCUUCCUUCUCUAUUUCCUGCCUUCCUUUCUCCUUUCCACUAAAGCAGUCACUCCAGUCAGGCUGAAAUGAGGAAGGCAGAAGUCAUUUUAAAUGCUCCAAGUGGGAAAGAUUUUAACAGAGGAAAACAGAGGCCUUCACAAUUGUUGGAUAGGCUGGUGGCAUAAAAGUCAGGGAAGCCCCUGCCACUGGGACCUACACCAAAGGAGAAGACUUCCAAGCAGAUUCUUUAGCUUCUCCUUUUUAGUUUGCCAGGAUAUAUGCAAAUCACUCUCACUGGGAGAUUUGUAGCCAAGACAAAGGAAUUCUGGGAAAGGUAGUUCUCCUCUCUCUUAGCCUUGCCCCCAUGAUACAGUGGGUAAAACAGAUUGAGGUGACAGUAACAUCAAGUUGACAACACUGUGAUGCAUUUGUUGAGCCUUUAUCAAGUCAGACAAAGAUGAGUGUGGUGAUUUCUCAGCAUCCCCACAGCCUGGUUAAGUUGACUGAUGUUAGUUUUCUUAAGACAGUAAAUUUUGCUGAGUGGCUGUGCCAGGACAAGUCCUCCCAGGAAAGCUCUGUUACAAAGUGGAUUCUAAUCACCAGGGUCAUUUACAUCAGAGCUCAUCUUGGGUCCAAAUGCUAACAGCUGCUUACAGUGAGAGCACGACACACAGCAAUUACCAGAGACAGAAACAUUGUUCCCCAACAUAAGUAGUAUAAUGCCACUAAAUUCCCAAGGUGCUUUUCAAAAUAUUAAUAUGCUUGUUAAAUUCUUUUCAGAUAGUUUUUCACCAUAAUUUAAAAUUACGUAUCCCUCUUGACUGGGCGAAACCUCCCAUAUAAAAGAGGGUAAGAUGUUACAUGAAGGUAACUAUAAAACCUCAGAGCAGCUUUUGCUCAUUUUAACACCACAUAUCAUUACAUUACGGAGAAGAUUUCAAGGAGAUUUAGUGCCUAUAAAUUACUGAGGAUUUGGUGAAACUGGUGUCUCUAGUCUUAGUCCUGUCAAAUAUGGACUACCCUGCCACAGGGCCAUGUGAUAUUUUGAGAGAUGGGCAUCAUGUGAAAUGAGAAAUUAGCUGUGUAAAUUACGUAUUCUUUGUUCCAGACUUACUUUCCUCAAUAAGACUCCCCUGAAUCAUAGCAGACAGAGAAUUAAGUAGUGGAAAAUUUUAUUUAAAUGUGCUUGUGGAAGCAAUGCAUGAGCAAACCUGGGUCCCAGCUCCCAUAAUGGCUCCUGUUGUCCACAUGCAGGAUAAAAUCAGCCCCACAUCAUAGCUCCAGUCUGGGCCCUUCAGCCUCUGCAGCCUUAAAGCUCUGGGCUUCCUUAUGUUGGCCUUCUUUUCCUAGGGCUUCCUUAAGUUUGUCUUGUCAUUUCACACCUGUAUCUUUGGAAGUAUGGUUUGCUCAGAUUGAAACCCUAUCAUCCUCCCCUUCCUCUACACUGGCACCAAAAUCAGCCUGAUUUCUAUUCACUUUUUAGUUCUCUGAGCUCUGCCAAGCUCUGUGUCCUCUGUAUUUUCAUUGCUUAGCUAUUAUUUCUGCUUAAAUUUUUAUUUUGAUGACUCAAUUGCUUUUAAGUUUUCUGCAUCAGACUAAAAGCUCCUCAAAGACAGAGACUCUUCUUAUGCAACUUGGCAUCUUUAGAGCUAAGUAGAACUCCCCAUACAUAGUAAAGGCUCAUUAGCUGAUAAAUGAGUGAAUGAACUAAGCCUGGGAGCAGGUAACUUCUAAUCACAAUGAUAAAAUGAAUAAAACAGAACUAACUUUGAUUCCCAUUUAAUUAUUUUAUAACUACAACAGUAUUAUAACUUUUUAAAAUCAUAAUUCUACAAAAGGAAGCAAUUAUAGAUCUUUCAUAAUGUUUUGCCCAGCACCUAGUAUUCUACCAGGGCCUUCUGCACAAUAUGUAAUGCCUAUAAUAAUGAACCAAGCUGGCUAAUAUAUAUUUUUUUCCUUCUAAUUAAUUCGCUCUCCCUAGUUUACCUUGCAAAUGCAGCUGCUGGGAGAAGCUCUGAUGGUUAUGGGGUUAAAGAGGAAAUGGUCAUAAUUUUUAUUUAGUGUUUUCCAUAUAAAUGCACCUCAUUAUCUGCUGUACCUCAUUAUAUAUGAUCUAUUUUAUGACCAUUUAGUUCUCCUUAGCAGUCCUGUUUUUAUUCUGUUAUGCUUGCUGUCUAAACUCUCAACUUUAUGACUCCAUUACCCUGGCUCACUGCUGCCUGCUAUCCCACUCCCACUGCAGAGGUGGAUAAUGUAGCUUUGCUGUUGCCAGGCCAGCGUUUCUAAUAAAUUCCUCGCAAACAGACAGGCAGUGGAAGAGGGCCCAGCGGCUCAGUGUCAUGCUUUCAUAUCACAUCACUAGGCUCUCAUUAGAUACUUUCCAAUCCUUGCUUUUUAUUUUCUCAUAUGCUUCCCCCCCCCCACCCCCGCUGACUUGCUUAAUCCUUACUGAGAAAUGUCAAUGUAAUUAACUUAAGUUAUAAUUAUUUGAAAGUGGACUUUGUUAUAAUGCCUUUUAUCAUUUUCCACUUCUCCCCCCUACCAAACUGCAAGUACCUGAGAGCUCUGCUGUGUAAAUAGAGUGGUGGAGUGGGGAGAAAUUGGCUCUUAUAACCUUGACAAUUCAUCCACUUCUUACACCUCCAUAAUUAAGGAUACUGAUGACAUUGCCACUUACAACUUUAUGUCUUGAAAUUUUAUUCAGUAAGAUAUUUUCAAGGAAGUUAAAUAGAUUCUGGGCAAAUUCAUUUUUACCAAUCUUAAAAUGGUAGAAUAAACUUGUAAGGUACCAAACUUAAAAUAAUAGAUGCUAUGCUGUACUUUAUUUGUAACAGAGUCCAUUCACACAUAUCAUCCCCUUUAAUCUUCACAGUGGCUUGGAGUGAUGAGUGGAAUUGUCAUUUUAGAGUAAAGGACUUAAAACAAUGGGUGGUUAAGUGAUUGCCUUGUUCAAGACUUUAUAGUUUUUAACAAUGAUCCCAAAAUUUGGACUUUUUUCAAUCAUUAGUUCAUUCAACUAAUCAAUAAUUAUUGUGACUAAACAUGUGCCAAGCAGCGUGCCUGGUACUGAAGAAGUUGAUGAAUGAGUAGUCAUUCCAGAACUACGCGGUGUGGCUUGGAGAGACCUAAACAAAGCAGACAGAGGGGUGAUUGGAGGCAGAUAACUAGGGCACGGCAGGUGGUGGUACAGGAGAGCCAGAGGAGUCUCAGGAGUUUGGCAUAUAUUCUGAAGUGAAAAGGAAUCAGUGAAGGAUUUUCUUCU
RNAcentral lists this long non-coding RNA (5648 nucleotides) under Sus scrofa (pig). Its description in RNAcentral is "lncRNA (ENSSSCG00015018479.1)". The record is from RNAcentral. Lineage: Eukaryota; Metazoa; Chordata; Mammalia; Artiodactyla; Suidae.